CAAGNUGAACGCNUGAAGAGAGGAGCGUUGCCUCUUCUUGGAUGAGUUGCGAACGGGUGAGUAACGCGAUAGGUAACCGUGCCUUUGUAGCGGGGGAUAACUAUUGGAAACGAUAGCUAAUACCGCAUAACAAUGGAUGACACAUGUCAUUUAUUUGAAAGGGGCAAUUGCUCCACUACAAGAUGGACCUGCGUUGUAUUAGCUAGUAGGUGAGGUAAUGGCUCACCUAGGCGACGAUACAUAGCCGACCUGAGAGGGUGAUCGGCCACACUGGGACUGAGACACGGCCCAGACUCCUACGGGAGGCAGCAGUAGGGAAUCUUCGGCAAUGGGGGCAACCCUGACCGAGCAACGCCGCGUGAGUGAAGAAGGUUUUCGGAUCGUAAAGCUCUGUUGUAAGUCAAGAACGGGUGUGAGAGUGGAAAGUUCACACUGUGACGGUAGCUUACCAGAAAGGGACGGCUAACUACGUGCCAGCAGCCGCGGUAAUACGUAGGUCCCGAGCGUUGUCCGGAUUUAUUGGGCGUAAAGCGAGCGCAGGCGGUUUGAUAAGUCUGAAGUUAAAGGCUGUGGCCCAACCAUAGUUCGCUUUGGAAACUGUUCAAACUUGAGUGNCAGAAGGGGAGAGUGGAAUUCCAUGUGUAGCGGUGAAAUGCGUAGAUAUAUGGAGGAACCACCCGGUGGCGAAAGGCGGCUCUCCUGGUCUGUAANC
RNAcentral lists this ribosomal RNA (712 nucleotides) under uncultured bacterium. Its description in RNAcentral is "bacterial SSU rRNA". It matches the Rfam family "Bacterial small subunit ribosomal RNA", at positions 58 to 740 of the family's 1533-position model. The record is from RNAcentral.